GUUUUUGAUUAGUACAACAACAAAAUUAUAUGUUAGUAUCCAUAGGUAUCAUGUGUAUCUUAGUUUUUGACUCUUUUUCACGUGGAGGCAUGUGUGUGUGUGAACGCCGAGAUGCGUUUUGGUCACCUAAACCGGUAUAUGACAGAUUGCUAACGUAAGCCGAUAAAAACAAGGAACUAAAAAAGGUUGCUUUUCGUCCACUCGUCCCUACAUGAAUUCUUUUACGGGUGGACAAAAUUGAGUAAGUAUCAUCCAUUAUUUGUAAUAUACAACACAUGUAACAAGAUUUCACAUGUGAAAUUUUAAUCAAGUUACAUGAUAAGUAGCUUAGAGGAGUUUUUAGAUUAUUUCCUUAAGAAACCAUAAAAUCAUCAUCUCGUAACUUCAAAUAGUCCAAAAGAGAAUCGGAUUAAAAUGCGGAUAUGAUAUAUUUUUUGUAAAAAUAAGAAGGCUAUAUCAUCUCUGAUCAGUCAUAAAUCAUAAUUCCAUAAUAUUGUAGCCAUAAAGAAACGAGUGUUAAUAAACGAAUGCCAUUUAGAUUCCAAUUUCAAAACCCCCAGAAGAAGCAUAAUCAUCAAAAAGUUAUGAUCUUAGAAAAGAACAAGACUUACGAGGAUUCAGUGAUCUGGGCAAAGUCAACAUAACCCGUCUCGGGGAGGUACUUGAGGAUUUUACCACCGGAGACACCGGUAUAGAACCCUUUACCGGUGGAAUCAAAAGCGAAAGCUUCGGGACCUGACCUAGUUUCCGGCACCGGAAGUUUCUGGAAAGAAGCGUCAUCGGAGAAAACCGCCGAUGAAAGAGAGAGAAGAAGAAGAAGAGAAAUCAUGGAGCAAAACGACGUCAUACCGUUUCUUUAUCGCUCAAUUAUUCUCAAAUGAGACUUUCUUGUACUUUGUAGUCGUUACGAAUAUUUAUAGGUUUGAUUAUUUAACUUUUCUUUUUCUUUUUUGAUUAAUUUUUAAGAAGGUUUCUUAUUUUGUAAAUUAAGUUGAUGGCACACGUUAUGCUCGUCGGAUUAUUUUAUUAGUGAAGAGAUUAGAGUUGUUUCUCGGGGUUUCUUGACAGAUUAAGUUGCACAUGGAACAAAAAGUCAAAUAGUUGCAAUCCACGUACAUUGCUGAUUUUUGGGGUAGACGUACGACUGUCAACGCAAGAUCGCAAACGCAUGGUCUAAAAAUUUAUGUACUUGUGUCUAAGAUUGAUUAGAAGUAGGUAAACUUUUUUUUGAUAAAGUAGAAGUAGGUAUUUAGAUAUCAGAAAAUAUAUACAAGUGUAAUUCCAAGGAGCAGUUGAUUACAAAUAAAUAAAAUACAUAUACUUUUGAGAAAUACCCUAGAAUAUUUGCUUGGAUAUUAAAAAAAAAAGGAAAUUUAAGAUUUUUGUGAUAUUGAAAGGACCAAAUGGAUACUGUUAAUAAAUCAACCGGUCGCAUAGUCGCAUUCAAUGAUCUUAGUCUUGUUGAUCAAAUAUUGACGAUCGAUGCGUUUAUCAUCAAACAUCAAUUGCAAAUUGUAAACACAAACGUAAAACGUCAAUAAUAUGGAAUGUUUUAUGUUUACUGUUUGCGUUUACAAUUUACAACUACUAUGUGGUUAAGAAUAAAUUGCGUAUAUAAACACACAAUUUUUUUUAUUUUUUUUUGGGUGCAAAAUACACAGGAUUUCAAAGCAAUGUUUCUAGUCUUUCAAAAUUCCGAUGUAUUAUUACAUUCUAGCAUAUAGACCAUAAUAAACAGAAGAUAUAAUAUUAUGGUCCAUAUGUUGGGUAAAUAAAAUGCAAAUGCACAAAAAGAAUCAUAAGCUUAUCCGAUUUUUGACCUCCCAAUAUAUCAUUAUUUUUCAAUAAAUAUAAAGAUGGACGUACAUAUUGGUUGCUAUCACUAUCAGACUUGAUGGAUAGCUAAUAAAUUGGUCACCAAAGAUCCGUAGCCACCUUUUUUUGGCGGGGCUGGCAUAACCUGAAACGAUUUGGUUUCGCUAUUUUUAUGUUAACCAGUACUUUAUCUUAAUUGUUUAUCGUAGUUGUGGCCUUUAUAUUUUGCAUUUUAAAUACUGAGCUUCCAAGUUAAAUGUUAGUGUUUUGUGCUUAUACAUUGUGAGAACUUCAAAUUAAGAAGUUUUUUUCAACUUUUUUUUGUUGCAAACCGUAUGAUUAUUUUGAUUUGUUAAGAAAAUAAAAGGUACUACAAAGAAAAGGGGAAUAUGUUAUCAUCAAUUAACGUUGUUGUUUCUUGGUGGUUCAUGUCCAUGAUGAUGGCUUGAUUUUAUGCUUAAUGGCGAAAUCAAAUUUAAACACGGAAAAUAACUACUACGUGACUCAAAUGUUUUCCCCAUUAAGGCCAUUACGUGUUAUACUCAACUUUAUCAUUAAAAUUUAAAAUGGUUAACUUCAAAGCCAAAUUGGCGUAAGGAUAAUAGAACUUGCUCACAGCUCCACAUAAUUUCCUUCAGAUCCGAAGUCUUAAUCGUUAGAAUCAGAGGUUUUUCUCCAUUACGAUUUAAUUUUCAGUUUUGUUUGGGAUUAUUCGAAAUUGAUUAAAUUAUUUAAAAAGAUGUAAAUAUUUUAUCUAUAAAGAAAUAAUAUACAUAAAUUGUUAAUUUGUUUUUCUUUUUGUAUCUAGUAUUUUGUUAAUUGUAUAUUUGUUUUUUGUUCCGUUUAGCUGAAGGAAUAACGCCAACUAAUUUGUUCGUUGACCGACAACUAUGCCAAUACCAUUGGCUCAAGCGUGAACAAGUUUUCUAAUAUUAAGUAACACGAAUGAAACACUCUUCUUAAUCAUUGGAACAAUCAAAUCGACAUAUCUCUGAGCAUCUGAUUAAUCUGAAAAACGCUUUGGUCGAUCCAUGUUUAUAUCGGUAUCAAUGACAUUACAACAGAAGACUCAGUGAAAAAGCUGUUCUUUUAUUUGUUUUUGUAGAAAAUCUGAUACUUUUCAGAGACAGCUACAACGGAGCUGAUACUAGGAGGACCUCAUUUGGUUUCACCUAAUUCUGUAAGCAAAAGCCGCCAAUGAGUGCCUUUCUCGAAUUUCUCAUGGUGAUCGGAAAGCUUCACCGGCGUAGCGCACAUUGCCGAGUUCCUCUUCGAUACGGAGAAGCUGCAAUGGAAAUAAAUCAAACUCAAGGGUUCAGAUAUGUGGUAUAUAGAGUAUAGUAUUAAGCAUAAGUUGGAUAUUAGUUAACUACCUGGUUGUAUUUUGACAAUCGUUCACUUCGGCAUGGAGCACCAGUUUUGAUCUACAAAACAGAGAAUGAUAAGCAAACACUAGAGAGUAAUACAGACAGGUUUAGAGGAUUUGAUGUACCUGUCCGCUUGCUAAACCAACAGAGAGAUCUGCGAUGAAGUUAUCCUCUGUCUCGCCACUCCUGUGACUAACCAUCACACCCCAGCCUGCAGCUUUUGAGUCAAGUGCUGCUUGAAUUGACUCAGUGACUGUCCCAAUCUGGUUAACCUGUGAAACCAUGAAUUACAAACAAAUUGAAAUUCUUCUCCAAUAACGGGGGUUUUGUCAAAAUGGUCUAGAGAAUUGAGAUUAGAAAAGAGAAAAUAAUAUAAAAACUUUUAUUUUUACCUUCAAGAGUAGAGCAUUGCAAGACUGUUUCUUAAUAGCUUCAGCUAUCCUCUUCGGGUUAGUGACUAACAAGUCAUCUCCCACGAGUUGGAUAUCCACAGAGGAUUGCAAUGAAGCCCAUGAGCUCCAAUCAUCCUGGUCAAAAGGAUCUUCGAUAGAGACAAUUGGGAAAUCCUUGAUGAAUUCUCUGUAGAGGUCAGCAAGACUCUCGGCUGACAGUACGUGAGCUCCAUCGUUUGGCUGUUUCUUGAAGUUCAAAUCGUAUCUACCAUCUUUCAUGAAAAAUUCUGAUGCAGCAACAUCCAUUCCUAUUUUGAUCUGCAAAAAUUAUAUAUUAUGUGAGUGGUGUAAGAUUGACACCGAAGCUGCCAGAAGUUGUUUAGGGAAACACAGAUGACAUGCAACUUUAGCAAGUAUUAGCAUUAAAAAGAAAGAGAACUUGAUUACCUUUCCAGUGUAACCGGCCUUUUCAAUUGCAUCUAUGAGCAGAACUAGUCCCUCUCUGUUAUCUUGAACAUUCGGCGCAAACCCUCCUUCAUCUCCGACAUUACAAGCAUCUUGACCAUACUUAGUUUUGAUUAUCCCCUUCAAUGUAUGAUAAACUGUAAUCAACAAAGUACAUUAAAUGCAUUACUAUCAGAAAAACAAUUCUUUGUGAUAAUCCAAAGAAUAGAAGAACUUUGGAACCAAAAGAGAAAUAUGAAACAGGAAGCUGCUUAUCAAGGCUUUUCUGUUUUUCUGACAUUUCAUUGCAAACUCAAGAAAAAUUAGGAGCCGCCAUAGUUUCUUAAGUUCUAGCAAGUUAAACCCAGUUAUCACUAACUGACCUUCACUUCCCAUCUGGAAGGCCUCCGAGAAUGAGGUAGCUCCUACAGGUAGUAUCAUAAACUCUUGCAUAGCCAAACUAUUCCCAGCAUGACUGCCUCCAUUGAUCACAUUGAAUGCAGGAACUGGCAUGACAAGCUCCUUUGUUCCUGAUGUUUCCUGGAUGUGUUUGUACAAAGGCACUCCUUUAGCUCCAGCACCUGCCCUGCAAACGCUCAAUGACACUCCUAAUAUCGCAUUAGCCCCGAGUUUCGACUUGUUUGGGGUCCCAUCCAGUUCCAGCAUAAGAGCAUCGACAUCAGCUUGGUUCCUUAAAGAAAAUAAGGUAAAAAUAUUACAUUCAACUAUCCAUCACCGAUUAUAGUUUCCCAACGGUUCAGAAUCAGAAACCACAAACGGAACAAUUCAACAAUGACACCUACUUCAACACUUAGUAGUAUCAAGUAUGAAGCAAAAUUAAAACUACAUGCAACAAACAACCUUAAUAACCUUAACUAGAAUUCCAAAUUCAACAGUCAUGCAUUACGAUUCGAAUCCAAGUCCACCAAAUUGACCAGUAGUAAUCCAGAGCAGAGAAACAAAGCUAAAACAACUCCGAAGAUUUCUAUCUAACUAAGCAUACCAACUCCAAAUCACGACGUUUAUAUGUUCAUUUAGAUUGAGGAACGAAUUCUUAUUCUCACCUAACGUCAACUCCAAUGAGUUUUGGAGCCACAAGUUCAUUGAUGUUUUUAAUAGCCUGUAAUACACCUUUACCACCAUAGACGCUCUUGUCUCCAUCUCUAAGCUCAAGCGCUUCGUAGAUCCCGGUAGAUGCACCACUUGGAACAGCCGAACGAUACAGAUCAUCGGUAAUCAGAUCAACCUCCACCGUCGGAUUCCCUCUACUAUCAAUAAUCUGUCUCGCUUUCACUCCUUUCACUCUGCACUCCUUAGCCACCACCGAGCAUUGGACACCGCUGCGACGGAAUCUCAGACAUGAUGGCGCAGAUUCCAAAUAUCGUUCGCCGGAAACACGCGACGGAGAGAGGAAAGAUCUCUGAAGAUGGUGAGGUUUUGUAGUCAAAGCCAUUACACGAUACCUAAAAAAAAUACUCUCUGUGAUUCUUUUGACUAAAAUGGAGAAGCGGAGAAUAAAAUGAUGUUAUAUAAUUUGAAAAACGUCCUUUUGGAGGUUGGUGCAGGCGGAGGCGAUGAAAACUAAGGAGUCAAAAGAACCAUACUUAAACCGGUUCAUUUUCCAAUUGGUUGACUGUUAAAGAGAAGUUUCUGGUUUUGGUUUGGUUCGGUUCGGUUCGGAACAAUUCAAAUAAAUAAAACAAAUCAAAAAUAUUCACUAGCAAAGUAGUAACCAGAGACACUGUGCCGUCGCCCGUCGCCGCCGCCGCCACACUAUCAUCUCUCUCAGGUUUUUGAUUUUCCACGGCAAUGGAGUCUUCGAUUCUCAAAAGCCCUAAUCUCUCUUCACCAUCGUUCGGUGUACCUUCAAUUCCCGCCUUAUCCUCCUCCUCCACCUCACCAUUUUCAUCUCUUCAUCUCCGAUCACAGAACCACCGUACCAUCUCUCUUACCACCGCCGGAAAAUUCCGUGUCUCGUAUUCUCUCUCCGCUUCUUCACCUCUACCACCUCAUGCUCCUCGCCGUCGUCCCAAUUACAUCCCUAACCGUAUAUCCGAUCCCAAUUACGUCAGAAUCUUCGAUACAACUCUCCGAGACGGUGAACAGUCUCCCGGAGCUACACUAACCUCCAAGGAAAAGCUCGAUAUCGCUCGUCAAUUAGCCAAGCUCGGAGUCGACAUCAUCGAAGCUGGAUUUCCCGCUGCUUCAAAAGACGAUUUCGAAGCUGUUAAAACCAUAGCUGAGACUGUUGGCAAUACCGUCGACGAAAAUGGCUAUGUCCCUGUAAUCUGUGGUCUCUCGAGAUGUAACAAGAAGGAUAUUGAGACGGCUUGGGAAGCUGUGAAGUACGCUAAGCGGCCAAGAAUCCAUACGUUUAUUGCCACUAGUGAUAUUCAUCUGAAGUAUAAGUUGAAGAAGAGUAAAGAAGAAGUUAUUGAGAUCGCUAGGAACAUGGUUAGAUUCGCCAGAAGCUUGGGAUGUGAAGAUGUUGAAUUUAGUCCAGAAGAUGCCGGAAGGUAAUAGUUUUGUUGUAAAAUGCCGUCAUGGAAUGUUCUCAAGUUCCUUUUUUUUUGGAUUCGAUGGUAUUUUAAUGUAUUGAUGGUCCUUUAUUAGUAGCUGAUUCUGCUAACGUGAAAUGUUUAAUUGGUGGCCAGAUCGGAGAGAGAGUACUUAUACGAGAUUCUUGGUGAAGUGAUCAAAGCUGGAGCAACCACUCUUAACAUACCUGACACUGUUGGUAUAACCUUGCCUAGUGAGUUUGGUCAGUUGAUUGCUGAUAUUAAAGCUAAUACUCCUGGGAUCCAAAAUGUUAUAAUCUCUACACAUUGUCAGAAUGAUCUUGGACUCUCCACCGCCAACACUUUAUCUGUAUGCCAUUUUUUUUUUCAUAUUUGGUUGGAUCGGGUUAGCUGUUAGAAGUUAUUACUAACAUGUCAAUCUUUUUUUGAAUUCAGGGUGCACAUUCGGGCGCGAGGCAAGUGGAAGUGACUAUCAAUGGAAUUGGCGAAAGAGCUGGAAACGCUUCAUUGGAAGAGGUCAGAUAUGAAAGCCUCCUGAAGUAGCUUCCUUUCCAUAGUUACUUAGAUAUUAUGCUACAUACUAAGGCAUUAUGACUUUUGUGAUUUUCAGUUUAUGAUCUCAUAGUGAACUGCAUAUAAAUACUUAAAUUAUUUCUUGAACAUUUUAUUCUUACUGUGUAGGUUGUCAUGGCCAUAAAAUGCCGUGGAGAUCAUGUCUUAGGAGGCCUAUUUACUGGAAUCGAUACCCGGCACAUUGUUAUGACAAGCAAGAUGGUACACAUUUUGAACUUCAUUCUUAACUCUGUGGAAACAAAAGUAUAUUUUUCUUAUUUGGCGAUUUUCCUUUUUUUUAAGGUCUAUUCUCAUUUUCUCAGGUUGAGGAGUACACUGGUAUGCAAACGCAGCCCCAUAAGGCUAUUGUAGGAGCAAACGCCUUUGCGCAUGAAAGUGGUAUUCAUCAGGUCAGUUAAUCAAUCGUAAUUUAUGCUAUUCUUAGUGUCUCUGUGACUAAAGUCUGCUUCACUUUUUUAUUAAACGGGAGAAAUGUAACUCUCCUAGUCUGGAAUUUUAGUUCUUGCAAGAUAAACUUACCCUUAUAGCAUUUACUCAGCCUGAAAAGAAUUUAAUGAAGGAAUCAUCAUUAGGUUCUCAACUCUUGACUUGCAUAUUUACUCUUUCAAUCUUCUGCAUAACUUAGUUAAUGAGUAUUGUUUGGUCUUUAUUCAUGCACUCUAUUUAGGAUGGAAUGCUGAAGCACAAGGGUACCUAUGAAAUUAUGUCCCCCGAAGAGAUUGGGCUUGAGCGAUCAAAUGAUGCUGGCAUCGUGCUGGGAAAGCUUAGGUAUGGAAGUUUUGUUGUUCAGACUGAUAUUCCAAAUGGGCUUGUCUUGUUCAAACCAAUGCUUACAUACUAUUUUAUCCAGUGGGCGUCACGCACUGAAAGACCGUUUAAAUGAGGUACAUGUCUUUACCCAUAUCUAUACUUGCUGUCACCAUAUUAGGAAGAAAAUGUUUUCUUAUCAUUUUUUUACAUUUUCAGCUCGGUUAUGUCCUGGAUGAUGGGCAGCUAAGCAACCUUUUCUGGCGUUUCAAAGCUGUGGCAGAGCAAAAAAAGGUAGUAAGAACCUCAAAGGGCACUGGUUUGGGUGCUGUUCCCAAAUUUUCAAGCAUUUAGUGUCCAAUUAUAUGAUGAUGCAGAAAAAAUUGGAGUUUUUGCUUUAGAAAAAAAAUAUAAAAUUAGUGGGUUUGCAUAAUGUCUCUUGAUUGUCUUUGUUCCUUGGUGAUACAGAGAGUUACCGAUGCUGACUUAAUAGCUUUAGUAUCUGAUGAAGUGUUUCAGCCAGAGGCUGUCUGGAAACUCCUGGACAUGCAGGUGAAUAGUGGAUAUGAGAUUUGUUUUCUCUCUUUACUUGUUCUAACUUCUUCUUUAGUCAAUUCUUAUUCUUAUGCUGAUUAUGGAAAGUGGGAGUGUAGAUAACUUGUGGAACUCUCGGUCUCUCAACAUCUACUGUAAAACUUGCUGACUCCGAUGGCAAAGAGCAUGUAGCUUGUUCUGUUGGAACCGGACCUGUAGAUGCAGCUUACAAGGCAGUUGAUCUUAUCGUUAAGGUACUUCUUUUGCUAGGAUUGCCGAUUAUAUAUAUAUAUAUAUAUCAAUGAUUACUUGUUUAAUGCUGAUCAUUAGCUAUGCAUAUACAGGAACCUGCGACUCUGCUUGAGUACUCGAUGAAUGCAGUAACAGAAGGCAUUGAUGCUAUUGCAACCACACGGGUUCUAAUCCGCGGAGACAACAACUACUCAUCAACAAACGCGGUAACGGGUGAAUCUGUUGAAAGAACUUUUAGGUAAAUUCAUUUUAACUUCAUCAUCCUUGUUUGAAACUUGAAACUAAUCUAGCAACUGAAGCUAAAGAAAAGAAUCGCAGUAACUACUCUGACUCACUGAGUUUGGGUUCUUACAGUGGAACCGGAGCAGGAAUGGACAUUGUUGUGUCGAGCGUUAAAGCUUAUGUUGGAGCUUUGAACAAAAUGUUGGGUUUCAAAGAACACACCUCCACUUUAAGUAAAACCCCUUUGGAGACCAACGAAGUCCCUGCCUGAAGAAAAUCUUACCUGCAAAUCUCAGAGAUCAAAUCACAAUUUAGAUGAGUAAACGUCUAAAAGAUUUUUAUUUUUUGUUACCGUUAUUGUUUGUAUAAAAAGAAUAUGAGUUUUGGUUUACUAAAAUAACUAUGAUAUAAAACAGAGUAUUUGGUUAAAACAUUGAAACAAGAACAAAUUUUCUAUAAAUAGUGAAGGCAUUUGCCCUAACAGGAACGACCGUUGAGCAAUCUUUUAACUACCAAAACUAAACUAAACUAAGAUAAGAUUUAUUUCGUAAUUGUUACCUUCCAUGACAAACAAACCAAAAGACAACAGAAACUUGGCCAGAAAAGUUUUAAGAACUCGUUCAUCUCCUUGAUUCAAUCUCUUUUAAAGAAACUCCAAAUUUUCAAACAACAAUUCGCUUGAAUACAAAAGGUUUUACGUUCCCCAAGAUUCAAAAAUGUCAGAAGUGCGAACUGGAUUCCUAACCAUGACAACAAUAAUCUUGAUAAGUAUAGGCCUCACAAUGAUGGGAACAGGUCUAUACCAAAAAACAACAAUGUCUUCUUGCAUCCGAGAAACCUCAAGCCAGUUCACGUUACUCGGUCUGCUUCUUCUGCUGAUUCCUCAGAUCGGUCUAUACGGAAUCUGUUGCCGCUCCAAACGCCUUUUCAAUUUCUUCUUCUACGGCAUGGUUGUGCUCAUUAUCAUUGUAUCUUAUUAUUCAAUCAAAUGUUCCAUUUACAACACCACUUUUGGCAUAGCUAAGAAUCCCGCCAAGGACAACCGUACCGUGCCACAGUUACUUGGUAGGUUGGUCUCUAAGGAGAAGUUCGAGAAAGUAACCUAUUGUAUCAUUCACAAACAUGACUGUAAUUACAAUGCCAGCAAAAACAGCAAUGUUUGGGUAAGUUUUGAAUCUUUUUACUAUUAAUAAGAGACAUGUCUAUAUGAAAAUGUGCAUGCUUAUAUUUAGGAUAUAUGUGCAGAAGUAUUGCUGUGCACAACCGGUGGGAUGUGGGACCAUAACGAUGUUCGACAAGCCAGGCGAGUGGAGUUGGAAACAUCAGUAUGAACGGAACCAAGUUCCAGAAGAGUGUUCUUAUGAGUAUUGUUUAGAUUGCAGAGGCUGCCAACUAAGCAUCUUAAAAGCCAUUGUUCAUCAAUGGAAAUAUCUCUCGAUGUUUGCUUACCCUGCUCUAGUCCUUUCCUGCAUCAGUCUUGCUAUAGCUUGGUCUCUCAAGGAGACUAUCCACGAAAACGAAGAUUAUCGAGGUUCUUAUAGUUGAUCUAUGAUUUAAUCCUAGAAUACUUACUUCAAAUUACAUCAAAAAGUGUCAGAUUUGUAGAAAUGCCUAUAGAAAACGGUGAAUGAUUUUUGAAUGAGAUAACGCCAAUGUUCAUGUAGCUUGCACAUACAUACCAUUUUGAUGUUUAUUCUAUAUUUAUGUUCAAUUUCAUACCGAGUUAUAUAGCAUAACGAUCCCCUUUUUUUUUGACAAUAAUUAUCCCAUUUCUAUCACGAACCACGCUACAAAGCUCACAAUCAAAAACAGGAUCGAUAGUUUGUCCAUACGUAAGAACAGAGAAUGUAUAAGCCAAAAAUUGUAUGUGUUCAGUGAACAAGAACAAAACAACCAUUUAGAAGGUAAAACACUUCAGGAGACAGAUACUCUAGAGACCUCAGAAAAAAAGUAAUGAAAUCUAGAAAACAAGCUCAUGGGGCUUCAUUCCUUGUUUCAAUGAAAACCUUGCGCCAAGGUAAGUCUUCAACUCUGGAACUGCUUCAAUGGCUUUGAUCAAAGCUGCAUCCACAGCUUUCUGGUCAUCUUUCUUCACCUGUGGGAUCUCCUUCUUCUCCUGUGAAAUAUAAAAGAGAGAUGUUAUGUCAAGCAUAUGUUUUGGUUUGGAAAAUAACAAGUGAUAUAAAGAUAUUUUCAAUGUCUAUUCUUCCGGAACAAACUGUGAUAACCAAAUUUAAAGGAGAGAAACACAAGAUGAAUUGCGUCCUUUCCAUGUUUUGCGAUAUAAGGUUAUACCUCUUUCUCAGCCUCAAAGAACUCUCCUUCUGUCUUCUUCUUUUUCUUCUCAGCAACCUUGCCAAAGUACUUAUCAUCGAAUUUAUCGAGGGUGACUCCAGAAAUGUCAACCUUUGUGGAAGUGCCAAUCACAUAGGCCUGGUUAACACGUCUCAAAGGAACACCAUUGAUCUUGAAUGGUCCUAAAGAAUUGUUAAAAAAAGGAUGAACAAUUCAGAUGGUAAAAAUCAGUGAAUGAGCUUCGCUUCAAAUGAUUUAUAGGAGACAAGUUCAUGAGAACAGAUAGAGAAUAACUCACCAGUCACAAGAAGCAAACCAGAGGCAAGCUGCUUAAGGAAGACAACUCUCUUUCCCUUGAACCUACCAGCAAGGAUAAUCAACACUGUACCUGGAGUAAUGCUAGCUCUGCAAUACAGAUAUAAGAAGAUCGGAUCAUGUUGGAAACAUAUAUAAGAUCUAUUGAAGACGUUACAGAGCAUAGACAUUAAAUUUGGUAUACAAAUGAAAAUCAAAUUCGCUUUUUUUCUUUUUACUAUCAACCUGAGACAAGCUUAAUCAUACUAAUAACAGUAAUGUAUAAGAAAACUAGAUGUAUUCACAGAAAUUAUGAACCUUUUGAAAUUCAAGUUUAACUCCACUAACAAUCUUCACAAACCAAUGCAUUUCAACUAUUCUUCAAAUAUCCUAGAGACAAAUGAUUUACACAAUGCAAAAUUUGGACACUUUUCCAGCAGAUAUUCAAAUCUUAUACAAACCCACUUAGCAAACGAGCCAAAGAAAUCAACCAAACACAUGGAAGAUAAUUGCAUCGAUACCAGUGUCAGACUAAGUACCUGAGCUUGGUUGGUUUUGCCGUGCGCCUGUUGGGGAGAGGUUUCUUAACAUCUUCAGCUGGAUAGAACUUCGGUGGCUUCUCCACCGGAGCAUCAACCUUAGAUUUAGCGUCGUGACGUGGGAAAACGCCUCCAUUUUUGGCCUUGAUAGCCCACAAACCUCUCUUAUGGUACAUCUGGGAUCUCGAGUAUUUACCAACACCCCUGAUCAGAUCAGGGUUUCUGUUGACCUUCGGGGUCCUCUGUUUCGCCGGCAUGGUUCUCUCUGUCGUAAUGAAUCAAGGAAAAAUUUUCCGGCUGAGAGUGGAUAGAGGAGAGAGUUGAGGCUGAGGAUAGGUGAAUUUGAAGACACUGAAACCCUAAUUAAAUUUUAGGGCUUUCUUGGGCUCAUGGGCUUUACAAUUAUAUCGGCCUUUUAAUGUGGACCGUAACAUGCAUAAUAGGAUUUGUUUUUUCUUACAACUUUGUAGUAUUAAAUCUUUUCACCUAAAACUAUUUUGACAGGAUGAUAAAAAAAUCAGAGUUAGAGAGUAGUUUAUCUAAAAACUCAGGCUAAUAAUCCCCACACAAUUUGACCAACGCCAAAAUCAGAGCAAGACGAUUCCUUCACCUGUAAGAGUGCAAUGGAUCACAUAUAUCAUUUAUAAUUAGUUUGAGACGCUUUUGAUGAAGCUGAUGAGGAUUUCUCCGCUUUAUUCACCUUUACAUGUCCUUCUUCAACAAACAUUGGUCGGCUUAAAAGCUCUUCAAAAGAUCAAUGUGCACAUGCCUAUGUAUAUAUAUACUAAUGACCCCGUUACUCAAUCAACAAAUAUUGAAUCUUGAUCACCGAAAACCAAAAUUUCAUUAGAUUCAAUGGCUAUGGCUAGUAGUAGUAGCAGCUCGUCAUUGUUUCCUAUCCAACAACAACCUCAACAACAAUUAGGAGGCAAUGAGAUCACACCUAUGGCUACCAAUGCCAAUCUAAUCGCAGCACCAAACGCUCCAAACCAUUACUCUUCCAGCUCCAUUGGACCCUUCUUCGCUGUCAUAUCUGUUCUCAUCAUUCUUGCUGUUCUCUCCUGCUUCUUGGGUCGAUUCUGCGCACGGAGCCGCCAGAGAACUGGUCUAGUGGCUGAAGUCAAUCCGUUGGAGAUGAUAAAGAGUGGUGGGCUUUUAGGUUGGCUGAGACGAAAAUGGAGACGGUGUUUGGCCGGAGAUGUUGAGGCCGGAGCUAAAGUUGCUGAUUGUGCUAGCAAAGAAACACCUAAAGAUAAUGAUCAAAUUCGUCUAGAAGCACCUCCAGCUUGAUCUCGGUGCAUGUGACAGAGACUAGUAAUAAGAGUUUCAAUAUUCGAAGUAGAUUGUAAGCUAAACUAUAUCAUUAUUGCAAUGUUAUUUUCAAUUCUCAAUUUCAUCACUUCGUCAUGACUUAAGCAUUACUAGAAUCUUGUGAAAAGUUCUCCUUCAAAAACAGGAUUGAUAAAUUAUCCAUAUAAGACAGAAAUCCAGAUAGCAGCAGCCAAGAUUUUAUGUCUCUGGUCAGUGGACGAGAACAGAACCAACCAGUUGGAGUGUAAAACUUCAGGAGACAGAUACACUAGAAACCUCAGAAAAAAAGUAAUGAAAUCUAGAAAACAAGCUCAUGGGGCUUCAUUCCUUGUUUCAAUGAAAACCUUGCUCCGAGGUAAGUCUUCAACUCUGGAACUGCUUCAAUAGCUUUGAUCAAAGCUGCGUCCACGGCUUUCUGGUCAUCUUUCUUUCCCUGUGGAAUCUCUUUCUUCUCCUGCGGAAGGAAAAAAAGUAUAUGGAGGUCACGCAUAGCUUUUAAUUUGGGUAGUGUAUAAAGGAGAGAACUUUAAUCGUCUAUUACAAAAUGAGAACCAAAUGACUCUUAGAGAAAGACAAGAAGAAUGUUUGGGAUACCUCUUUCUCAGCCUCGAAGAACUCUCCUUCAGUCUUCUUCUUUUUCUUCUCAGCAACCUUGCCGAAGUACUUAUCAUCGAAUUUGUCGAGGGUAACUC
This 13996-nucleotide long non-coding RNA is filed under the name Arabidopsis thaliana (thale cress). RNAcentral describes it as "long non-coding RNA (ATHA_LNC000638)". Lineage: Eukaryota; Viridiplantae; Streptophyta; Magnoliopsida; Brassicales; Brassicaceae. The record is from RNAcentral.